This 905-nucleotide long non-coding RNA is filed under the name Cricetulus griseus (Chinese hamster). RNAcentral's name for it is "lncRNA (ENSCGRG00015034694.1)". Lineage: Eukaryota; Metazoa; Chordata; Mammalia; Rodentia; Cricetidae. The record is from RNAcentral.
CAUCUGUUCAUUUUUUCCCCUCUGGUAUAUUAUCACAGCUACAGAAACAAACAAAACUAGUGCCUAGUGCCAACUGAUAAAUCUAAAAACAGCUCCUGCAGCAAAGCUCAUGAUCCUCAUGGAAGAGGGGACACAGAGACUGUAAGAGCCAUAAGGUCAGGGAGUUUGCUGUGAGACUGUCUCCUAAUGUUAGAUAAGCUACACCCAUGAAGUCUCAUCAACAUGGCUGCCUAAAUAAGACCCAAACAAGGACAACACCAACAGAUAUGAUGGCCUCAGCACUACACAAAGAACUACUGACAACCAAGGAAUGACGAGAUUGGGAGAAACAGCAGAUGCCAAUUUGUAUCCAACCAAUACCAAGUGGCAUCACUGGGAAUCUUGGAACAUGUUCCUGCAGAUAUGGGGAACCUACCACACCAGCACAGAAGGGGCUCAAUUCUCUAUGUGCCAGCCUUGUCUAAAAGUGUUUUGAGUUGCAAGCAGACGUGAAUGGCUAUCAGAGUUCACUCACAUUUACCCACAGUAGGUAUUCUUACCUGAUAAAACACAGUGCCUGUGUGCCUUGUUUUGUUUGCAAAGAGAUUUCCUAUGUACCUUGAGAUAGGGAUUUGAACCAAUUUGUUCAGCUUGUUUCAAAGCAUGUCUGGCUCAAUAUAAGCAGUUCAGACCAUUGACACUCAAUAUAAGCAACUCAGUCUGAUGGUAUCCCCCAAAGACUCCCCUUGAUUUCCAGUGUUAUGACAUCAGCCAAGACAGCUCUGUUUUGUUUAAGUUUAACCAAGAAAUGACAUUCAUCAAACCUUUAAAAAUUCAGACUUACAAAAGUUUGAAAAUAACUGUUCAUGUCAAACGAGUAGGCAUUAAACCAUGAAAGUGUCAACUGGCCAGUACCCCAUCCUCUC